GAUGAAGAACGGAGCGAAAUGCGAUAAGUAGUGUGAAUUGCAGAAUUCAGUGAAUCAUCGAAUCUUUGAACGCACAUUGCGCCCUUUGGUAUUCCAAAGGGCAUGCCUGUUCGAGCGUCAUUUGUACCCUCAAGCUUUGCUUGGUGUUGGGCGUCUUGUCUCUAGCUUUGCUGGAGACUCGCCUUAAAGUAAUUGGCAGCCGGCCUACUGGUUUCGGAGCGCAGCACAAGUCGCACUCUCUAUCAGCAAAGGUCUAGCAUCCAUUAAGCCUUUUUUUCAACUUUUGACCUCGGAUCAGGUAGGGAUACCCGCUGAACUUAAGCAUAUCAAUAAGCGGAGGA
Molecule: unclassified non-coding RNA, 341 nt
Filed under: soil metagenome
Description: partial contains 5.8S ribosomal RNA, internal transcribed spacer 2, and large subunit ribosomal RNA
Rfam family: 5.8S ribosomal RNA (bases 1-120)
Source: RNAcentral